Bos taurus (domestic cattle) is the source of this 354-nucleotide long non-coding RNA. NCBI's taxonomy places the organism in Eukaryota, Metazoa, Chordata, Mammalia, Artiodactyla, Bovidae. The record is from Ensembl.
CUUGGAGGAAGGCAUGGUAACCCACUCUAGUAUUCUUGCUGGAGAAUCCCAUGGACAGAGGAACCUAGCAGGCUAUAGCCCAUGGGGUUGAAAAGGGUCAGAGUAACUUAGCACACACAGAUGAAGGACAGUAAAAGAGCAACCAUGAAUCCAUUCCCCGCUUCAUUUAAGACUUAGAACAUCGAGAAUAAGGAAUCUAGGAAGCUUACAUUUCCAAGAUCCCUUCAAAUUAAGUUUGGACCAAGUGACUGGCUUCUCCUGCAUUGGCUGUGGCCUCUUUAGGCCUUUGUGUUUAUCCUCACUCCACCUAUUUCAGUAGUGAUCUGGGAGGCCAUACGAUCAAGAGGGCAGGAU